CCUACGGGGGGCAGCAGUGAGGAAUAUUGGUCAAUGGCCGAGAGGCUGAACCAGCCAAGUCGCGUGAGGGAAGACGGCCCUACGGGUUGUAAACCUCUUUUGUCGGGGAGCAAAGCGAACCACGUGUGGUUCAUUGAGAGUACCCGAAGAAAAAGCAUCGGCUAACUCCGUUCCAGCAGCCGCGGUAAUACGGGGGAUGCGAGCGUUAUUCGGAUUUAUUGGGUUUAAAGGGUGCGCAGGCGGAGGUGCAAGUCAGCGGUAAAAUUGCGGGGCGCAACCCCGUACUGCCGUUGAAACUGCAUCCCUUGAGUGCGCGAGAGGUAUGCGGAAUGCGUGGUGUAGCGGUGAAAUGCAUAGAUAUCACGCAGAACUCCGAUUGCGAAGGCAGCAUACCGGCGCGCAACUGACGCUGAUGCACGAAAGCGUGGGUAUCGAACAGGAUUAGAUACCCCUGUAGUC
RNAcentral lists this ribosomal RNA (459 nucleotides) under uncultured bacterium. RNAcentral describes it as "partial 16S ribosomal RNA". It matches the Rfam family "Bacterial small subunit ribosomal RNA", at positions 338 to 795 of the family's 1533-position model. The record is from RNAcentral.